GGAGUGAGUGGGGGGGAUUGUGAAGUGUCAUUAAUUUCAGAGGCACAUUUGCAUAAACUUAAUCUGUUCCCCAAAAUGUGACCCUUGAGAUAAACAACAGUCUUGGCUUUGGGUCACGUUUUUAAGAUGCACAAAAGUCUGACAUGCAAGUUAAUUAAAAAUCCAACAAAUGAGAUGUCAACUCAAGCCUGUUCAUUUUGUUUGGGCUCCAAAUGUACAACAUGUGAAAACCAAAAAAUCCCUGAUGAGCAUGAUCUACAAGUUAAGGGGAAGGAUUUUUUUUUUUUCCCCCAAUCAACAUCUAAACAGAAUAAAAAACUUGGGGACAUUACACCAACAUGUAUUACAGUAGAUGCAAAUCUGUCAAAUGUAAGUGUCAUGCAAAAAUAAUGGGAUAGUUAAUUUGCAAAUAUUAUAAUGGACUCCACCCUUACAUAAUUUAUACAUUUACAAACUAAAUAAGCUUCUUAUUCAACGCUGAAGGUUUGCAAGUUGCAGGACUUUGCUUUACAACAGAUAGAUGAAAUGCGUGGCUGCCUGGCCAGAUAGCAUGCUACAGUAGCAUCUGUGCUAUAGUGUUAGCACCGCCUAGCAGCAAAGCAAAGCACAGCAGCUAGAUGGUAGAAAUGCAGAGAGACUAGGCCUCAAAACUGAAAGGCCAGGCUUUUUACGUGUAAAUAAACCACAAAUAACCAACAUGCAUGAUUUAAACCAAGUGAAAAAUACAGUUUCCUAUCAUAUACACUAAAGACAAACGACUAAUUAGUCUGCAGGCAUUGAUUAUGUCGAUGAAGCUAACAGCUGGAUUGGUGCAAGUCGACGCAAAUGCAUGCUAAGCUUGCAUGCAAACACCAGAGACAUAGCACAGGGUUUGUUUAGCCAAAUAUCACUUCACACACCAACAGGAAGCCUGGGUGGCUUUGGACUAUCUUACAGCGAAGCACCACCACCACCACCACAAACUCCAGCUCUUCUCUCUCAAAAUGCCAGACUCUAACGAAGCUGCACCAGCACCAUGCCAGGUUAUCAAAGAGGAUGUUGACAAAUGUAUCAGAGAGAAGGGAGCAGAGGCCUGUAAAGAUCUCAUAGAUGCCUUCCAGGCCUGCACAAAGACGCUGUCUGAGGGAUCAUGAUACACACGGAAGCACAUCGUAAUAAAAUCUUCACUUUAUCAAAGUCCUCCACUUUCCCGGCAUUCCCUCCGUUGCUUAUUGCGCUGGGCCGAACCAUCUGAAGAACUGAAGCGGGGGGUGAUGAUACUGAGCUUCUGAUACUGUAAAGUCAAUGUGAAACUUUGUCUUCAUAAAUGUUAUAACUCCAUUAUGCACUCUACUAUAACACAGAUUACCUAUGCAUUGUAACAUUUCAUACAAUAAAUGUAAAGCUUGUCUAUUUA
Molecule: long non-coding RNA, 1396 nt
Organism: Sebastes umbrosus (honeycomb rockfish)
Lineage: Eukaryota; Metazoa; Chordata; Actinopteri; Perciformes; Sebastidae
Exons: 4
Source: RefSeq, a predicted model, not a curated record